Non-coding RNA from Salmo salar (Atlantic salmon), 58 nucleotides. The record is from Rfam. NCBI's taxonomy places the organism in Eukaryota, Metazoa, Chordata, Actinopteri, Salmoniformes, Salmonidae.
UGGCUCAGGUGGUAGAGCAUGGCGCUUGCAAUGCCAGGGCUGUGGGUUCGAUUCCCGC